This 968-nucleotide long non-coding RNA is filed under the name Ananas comosus (pineapple). RNAcentral's name for it is "long non-coding RNA (ACOM_LNC018337)". The record is from RNAcentral. Lineage: Eukaryota; Viridiplantae; Streptophyta; Magnoliopsida; Poales; Bromeliaceae.
GAAGUUCAGGGACCAGUACUGUUUAUCUUCUGUACAGUAAAACUGAGUUUUGUGAACACAGAUUUGGUGUGAACGGUUUCUAAUGUGAGACCGUUCUAUCCACUAUCAGUUACGUGAAUGACAUAAAUUUUUAUGUCGCGUGAAUAGUGGGACAAAACAGGUUGAUAUUGGGAUUACUCCUACCAAAUUUUCUUUCGAAUUCUACCAAAAGUUCAAAACUGUGCAAGUCAAUUUAAAAAUUCCGCAGAAUUUAAAAAAAUGCUACUUAUACUUUCAAAAGUGGGGUACAAAUCUUACACCCAUCCACCAAGAGUUUACACUCUUUUCUUAAAUUUAUAAAAUUAAAAAAUAUUGAUCUUAUUAGUAUAAAAAUGUUGAUCUUUACAUGGAUAGAGAAAAAAAUAUUGAUCUUUAGUAGAUGGAUAGCGUUGAGAGUAAAAAAUAAUAAUAAUAAUAAUGAAAAAAUAUCGUUAUUUAGUAACUUAAUCUUUUGUAGGACAAUGAUAUAAGAGCAGAAAGUCUUAAGUUUGAAUUUUGUCGGACCUCUGGCCAGAUUUAAUUUAAUUUCAUUUAAUUCAAAUCCACAUUUUAAAUCUAUCGAAAAGUCUCGAGCCUAGAUUUGAGAGAAAGUGUUAAAAAUAAAAAAAAUACUAUUCUCUAAUAGCUUAAGAUUGUAAAAAAAUAUUAAGAAUAACUUAUUUCCUAUAAGAAUUUUUUAGUAUGAUUGUAAGGUAUUUAAUUUUUUACUCUUUUUAAAAAAAUGAAGCGAAAUCGUUCGAGAGUGAAAGUUUAUUUAAAUAAGAUAAGACGAUAUAGAAUUGAAAAAACCCUCAAAAAGAACCACACAGUACAUUGUUUUGCUAGGCAGAUCCCAAUUAGCUAGUUGAUCAGCUUACAUAGCAUUUCUGGAGAAGCGAGUAUUCCAUCCAAAAGAAAAAACGUUAUCAAUGAGAGUCUGAAGUGUUUUG